RNAcentral lists this ribosomal RNA (435 nucleotides) under Triticum aestivum (bread wheat). RNAcentral describes it as "partial small subunit ribosomal RNA". Lineage: Eukaryota; Viridiplantae; Streptophyta; Magnoliopsida; Poales; Poaceae. The record is from RNAcentral.
AUGAACUUCCCUUCUCCCCCUGCUCGGGACGCCAGCAAGUCCGGAGCAAGAGCUCGCGAUCUGCAGUUCCUUCCUUCCAUGGAUGACCACGAAGACCUCUGCGUGCUGUGCUGCUGCUCGGGACCCUCCCUAUGCUUCUCAUCGCUCGUCCGGGUCCAGGUUAGUCUCUCCGACCCCUGCUUGUCCCCGUCAAAUCGGUGCAUAGCCUCAUUUUAUUCUGCAGUCUGUAUCCUUUCAGCUUGUAUACUUUAUUCUUAUUGUGGAGAAAUUUCUUUUGUGAUGCAACUAAUGGGGACAUACAAAAAACACAUAAUGUCGAUUGCUUUGAGUAAGAAGGUAUACCCAUCUGUCUGCAGUCUGCUCUUAAUACACUCUUCCCUUGGCCAUGCACUGAUGUUUAAGUCUUUCCACUUAUCAGAUUUUAGUUCCAUUUGA